Molecule: ribosomal RNA, 435 nt
Filed under: uncultured bacterium
Lineage: Bacteria
Description: partial 16S ribosomal RNA
Rfam family: Bacterial small subunit ribosomal RNA
Source: RNAcentral
AGCGAACGCUGGCGGCAGGCUUAACACAUGCAAGUCGAGCGGGCACUUUCGGGUGUCAGCGGCGGACGGGUGAGUAACGCGUGGGAACGUGCCCUCUGGUUCGGAAUAACUCAGGGAAACUUGAGCUAAUACCGGAUACGCCCUUUUGGGGAAAGGCUUGCUGCCGGAGGAUCGGCCCGCGUCUGAUUAGCUAGUUGGUGAGGUAACGGCUCACCAAGGCGACGAUCAGUAGCUGGUCUGAGAGGAUGAUCAGCCACACUGGGACUGAGACACGGCCCAGACUCCUACGGGAGGCGGCAGUGGGGAAUAUUGGACAAUGGGCGCAAGCCUGAUCCAGCCAUGCCGCGUGAGUGAUCAAGGCCUUAGGGUUGUAAAGCUCUUUUAUCCGGGACGAUAAUGACGGUACCGGAGGAAUAAGCCCCGGCUAACUUCGUG